UGCAGCUUACCACAUUAACACAAGUAUAACUUAGUGUCGUGUCUCUACCGCUCAAGGCUGGAUGUAGGAUUGCCUAGAGUUGCUCUCUGGAAUACUGGCGCUCAACGAUGGUUGUUGUCUUUACUAUCUAGAAAGUGUUCAUUCAACGGCAAAGAGAUGACACUCAAUGCCACCUAGACUUCAUGACCUCCCAAUUUUCAUUGUUCUUCCUACUUCUCUGGGUUACCA
RNAcentral lists this long non-coding RNA (228 nucleotides) under Vigna radiata. RNAcentral describes it as "long non-coding RNA (VRAD_LNC009137)". The record is from RNAcentral. Lineage: Eukaryota; Viridiplantae; Streptophyta; Magnoliopsida; Fabales; Fabaceae.